RNAcentral lists this ribosomal RNA (253 nucleotides) under uncultured bacterium. Its description in RNAcentral is "partial 16S ribosomal RNA". It matches the Rfam family "Bacterial small subunit ribosomal RNA", at positions 524 to 776 of the family's 1533-position model. The record is from RNAcentral.
UACAGAGGGUGCAAGCGUUGUCCGGAAUCACUGGGCGUAAAGGGCGCGUAGGCGGUUCUUUAAGUCUCUCGUGAAAUCCCUCGGCUUAACUGAGGACGUGCGGGAGAUACUGAAGGGCUUGAGUCCGGAAGAGGGUGGUGGAAUUCCCAGUGUAGCGGUGAAAUGCGUAGAUAUUGGGAGGAACACCGGUGGCGAAGGCGGCCACCUGGGCCGGAACUGACGCUGAGGCGCGAAAGCGUGGGGAGCAAACGGG